CGCUUGCUUCUCCCCCAGACCCCGCUAUCCCGAGCUUCACCACCCGAGUUUCGGUCGCCACAAGCCCCAAUUAUGUCCGGAUCCAGCCGUCAAGGCCGGUGGGUAGCUUCUUCUAUCACGGAGGGAGAUAUUGCAAAGCUUCGGGCGGCGAGGUAUUUGACCGUGGAAAUCCACCAUCGGCUUCCCGCCGAGGGGCAGGUUAUUCCCACCCCCAGAUCCGGCGAGAGGGUCGUGUUCAUGUCCCACUUCCUUCGCGGGCUAGGGUUUGCACUUAACCCCUUCGUCCGGGGGCUCAUG
This 297-nucleotide ribosomal RNA is filed under the name Triticum aestivum (bread wheat). RNAcentral describes it as "partial small subunit ribosomal RNA". Lineage: Eukaryota; Viridiplantae; Streptophyta; Magnoliopsida; Poales; Poaceae. The record is from RNAcentral.